Saccostrea echinata is the source of this 76-nucleotide small nucleolar RNA. RefSeq annotates it as small nucleolar RNA snoR122. NCBI's taxonomy places the organism in Eukaryota, Metazoa, Mollusca, Bivalvia, Ostreida, Ostreidae. The transcript has a single exon. The record is from RefSeq and is a predicted model, not a curated record.
UGCCAAUGAAGAAUAACAGAAGUUGCAUGUAUUACCUGAUACUUGCAGUGAUGAAAAUCAUUUUUUAACAGAGGCA